GAUGAACGCUGGCGGCGUGCCUAAUACAUGCGAGUCGAGCGAACAGACGAGGAGCUUGCUCCUCUGACGUUAGCGGCGGACGGGUGAGUAACACGUGGAUAACCUACCUAUAAGACUGGGAUAACUUCGGGAAACCGGAGCUAAUACCGGAUAAUAUAUUGAACCGCAUGGUUCAAUAGUGAAAGACGGUUUUGCUGUCACUUAUAGAUGGAUCCGCGCCGCAUUAGCUAGUUGGUAAGGUAACGGCUUACCAAGGCAACGAUGCGUAGCCGACCUGAGAGGGUGAUCGGCCACACGGGAACUGAGACACGGUCCAGACUCCUACGGGAGGCAGCAGUAGGGAAUCUUCCGCAAUGGGCGAAAGCCUGACGGAGCAACGCCGCGGGAGUGAUGAAGGUCUUCGGAUCGUAAAACUCUGUUAUUAGGGAAGAACAAAUGUGUAAGUAACUAUGCACGUCUUGACGGUACCUAAUCAGAAAGCCACGGCUAACUACGU
Molecule: ribosomal RNA, 496 nt
Filed under: uncultured bacterium
Lineage: Bacteria
Description: partial 16S ribosomal RNA
Rfam family: Bacterial small subunit ribosomal RNA
Source: RNAcentral